This 227-nucleotide ribosomal RNA is filed under the name uncultured bacterium. RNAcentral describes it as "partial 16S ribosomal RNA". It matches the Rfam family "Bacterial small subunit ribosomal RNA", at positions 109 to 334 of the family's 1533-position model. The record is from RNAcentral.
AGUAACGCGUGAGGAACCUGCCUCAAAGAGGGGGACAACAGUUGGAAACGACUGCUAAUACCGCAUAAGCCCACAGCUCGGCAUCGAGCAGAGGGAAAAGGAGUGAUCCGCUUUGAGAUGGCCUCGCGUCCGAUUAGCUGGUUGGUGAGGUAACGGCCCACCAAGGCGACGAUCGGUAGCCGGACUGAGAGGUUGAACGGCCGCAUUGGGACUGAGACACGGCCCAG